This 436-nucleotide ribosomal RNA is filed under the name uncultured bacterium. RNAcentral's name for it is "bacterial SSU rRNA". It matches the Rfam family "Bacterial small subunit ribosomal RNA", at positions 975 to 1414 of the family's 1533-position model. The record is from RNAcentral.
CAAGGCUUGACAUAUAGAGGAAAAGUGCAGAAAUGCACUCCCCGCAAGGUCUCUAUACAGGUGGUGCAUGGUUGUCGUCAGCUCGUGUCGUGAGAUGUUGGGUUAAGUCCCGCAACGAGCGCAACCCUCGUCCUAUGUUGCCAGCACGUAAUGGUGGGAACUCAUGGGAUACUGCCGGGGUCAACUCGGAGGAAGGUGGGGAUGACGUCAAAUCAUCAUGCCCCUUAUGUCUUGGGCUUCACGCAUGCUACAAUGGCCGGUACAGAGGGCUGCAAUACCGCAAGGUGGAGCGAAUCCCAGAAAGCCGGUCUCAGUUCGGAUUGAGGUCUGCAACUCGACCUCAUGAAGUCGGAGUCGCUAGUAAUCGCGAAUCAGCAACGUCGCGGUGAAUACGUUCCCGGGUCUGUACACACCGAAUCUAGAGCAUCGGAGACAG